RNAcentral lists this ribosomal RNA (465 nucleotides) under uncultured bacterium. Its description in RNAcentral is "partial 16S ribosomal RNA". It matches the Rfam family "Bacterial small subunit ribosomal RNA", at positions 28 to 507 of the family's 1533-position model. The record is from RNAcentral.
GACGAACGCUGGCGGCGUGCUUAACACAUGCAAGUCGAACGGAAAGGCCCUGCUUGCAGGGUACUCGAGUGGCGAACGGGUGAGUAACACGUGGGUGAUCUGCCCUGCACUUCGGGAUAAGCCUGGGAAACUGGGUCUAAUACCGGAUAGGAGCCAUUUUUAGUGUGAUGGUUGGAAAGUUUUUUCGGUGUAGGAUGAGCUCGCGGCCUAUCAGCUUGUUGGUGGGGUAAUGGCCUACCAAGGCGGCGACGGGUAGCCGGCCUGAGGGGGUGGACGGCCACAAUGGGACUGAGAUACGGCCCAGACUCCUACGGGAGGCAGCAGUGGGGAAUAUUGCACAAUGGGCGCAAGCCUGAUGCAGCGACGCCGCGUGGGGGAUGACGGCCUUCGGGUUGUAAACUCCUUUCGCUAGGGACGAAGCUUUUUGUGACGGUACCUAGAUAAGAAGCACCGGCUAACUACGUG